This 30-nucleotide non-coding RNA is filed under the name Rattus norvegicus (Norway rat). The record is from RNAcentral. Lineage: Eukaryota; Metazoa; Chordata; Mammalia; Rodentia; Muridae.
UGGACACAAGAGAUGGAUGGCCUGCCAGAC